AUUUUUGAAAAGUGGGUCCUAGUUUUCUCAUAGAAUACCUGCAAUUUAGAUUUGUUUGAUUAUUUCUUCAUGAUUUAGGUUUAAUACAUUAGGGAAGCUUUUUAUGUAGGUUAAGUUGUAAAUUUUCCAUUGCAUCACACCAAGAGCCACAUGAUGUCUGAUUUUUCCAUUCUUAGAGAUGCUAAGUUUUGCUCACUUGGUUAAGAUAACAGUAUUUCAGAUCUGUAUUGCAAAAC
This 236-nucleotide long non-coding RNA is filed under the name Homo sapiens (human). Its description in RNAcentral is "LHRI_LNC1768.1". The record is from RNAcentral. Lineage: Eukaryota; Metazoa; Chordata; Mammalia; Primates; Hominidae.